RNAcentral lists this ribosomal RNA (492 nucleotides) under uncultured bacterium. Its description in RNAcentral is "partial 16S ribosomal RNA". It matches the Rfam family "Bacterial small subunit ribosomal RNA", at positions 29 to 507 of the family's 1533-position model. The record is from RNAcentral.
AGUGAACGCUGGCGGUAGGCCUAACACAUGCAAGUCGAACGGCAGCACAGUAAGAGCUUGCUCUUACGGGUGGCGAGUGGCGGACGGGUGAGGAAUACAUCGGAAUCUACUUUUUCGUGGGGGAUAACGUAGGGAAACUUACGCUAAUACCGCAUACGACCUACGGGUGAAAGCAGGGGAUCUUCGGACCUUGCGCGAUUGAAUGAGCCGAUGUCGGACUAGCUAGUUGGCGGGGUAAAGGCCCACCAAGGCGACGAUCCGUAGCUGGUCUGAGAGGAUGGUCAGCCACACUGGAACUGAGACACGGUCCAGACUCCUACGGGAGGCAGCAGUGGGGAAUAUUGGACAAUGGGCGCAAGCCUGAUCCAGCCAUACCGUGUGGGUGAAGAAGGCCUUCGGGUUGUAAAGCCCUUUUGUUGGGAAAGAAAAGCAGCAGGUUAAUACCCCGCUGUUCUGACGGUACCCAAAGAAUAAGCACCGGCUAACUUCGUG